CUCCUGAAACCGGAACUACUGUGUAUUGAUUCGUUGCUUGCUUCAUGAUUUACAUUUGACGUGACGGCGAACUGGUGAGUAACACGUGGGAAACCUGCCCACAAGCGGGGGAUAACACCUGGAAACCGAUGCUAAUACCGCAUAACAACUUGGACCGCAUGGUCCGAGUUUGAAAGAUGGCUUCGGCUAUCACUUUUGGAUGGUCCCGCGGCGUAUUAGCUAGAUGGUGGGGUAACGGCUCACCAUGGCAAUGAUACGUAGCCGACCUGAGAGGGUAAUCGGCCACAUUGGGACUGAGACACGGCCCAAACUCCUACGGGAGGCAGCAGUAGGGAAUCUUCCACAAUGGACGAAAGUCUGAUGGAGCAACGCCGCGUGAGUGAAGAAGGGUUUCGGCUCGUAAAACUCUGUUGUUAACGAAGAACAUAUCUGAGAGUAACUGUUCAGGUAUUGACGGUAUUUAACCAGAAAGCCACGGCUAACUACGUGCCAGCAGCCGCGGUAAUACGUAGGUGGCAAGCGUUGUCCGGAUUUAUUGGGCGUAAAGCGAGCGCAGGCGGUUUUUUAAGUCUGAUGUGAAAGCCUUCGGCUCAACCGAAGAAGUGCAUCGGAAACUGGGAAACUUGAGUGCAGAAGAGGACAGUGGAACUCCAUGUGUAGCGGUGAAAUGCGUAGAUAUAUGGAAGAACACCAGUGGCGAAGGCGGCUGUCUGGUCUGUAACUGACGCUGAGGCUCGAAAGUAUGGGUAGCAAACAGGAUUAGAUACCCUGGUAGUCCAUACCGUAAACGAUGAAUGCUAAGUGUUGGAGGGAUUCCGCCCUUCAGUGCUGCAACUAACGCAUUAAGCCUUCCGCCUGGGGAGUACGGCCGCAAGGCUGAAACUCUAAGGGAAUUGACGGGGGGCCCGCACAAGCGGCGGGAACAUGUGUUUUAAUUUCACAAUCUACGCGUAACAACCUUACCAGGGCUUGACCAUACUAUGGCAAAUUCUAAGAAUAU
RNAcentral lists this ribosomal RNA (1000 nucleotides) under Lactiplantibacillus plantarum. RNAcentral describes it as "bacterial SSU rRNA". It matches the Rfam family "Bacterial small subunit ribosomal RNA", at positions 71 to 1012 of the family's 1533-position model. The record is from RNAcentral. Lineage: Bacteria; Bacillati; Bacillota; Bacilli; Lactobacillales; Lactobacillaceae.